UUGAGACGGGAAUUGAAAUUUUUUAUCUUUACCAAUUUGUUAGCUCAAACAUUUUCAUUUUCUCCUCUCUCAUCUGUUUCUCUCAAACAAAACAAACAAAUAUAUCCAAAUAUGCCCACAAUGUAUCUCUGUUUCUCUCACUCUCUCCAUCUGUUUCUGUUUCUCUCUAUUAUUCACACAAGCACAAACCCUAGACCACCAUUCAAAACCACCACCACCACCAAAAAUGUCUCACGCCGUGGUGGCGUCGCCCUAUUUCCCCACCGUGAGGUCGGCGGCGAACUGACCAAGGCAGAGGUCGGCGAACUGAGGUCGGCGGCGAACUGACCAAACCAGGUAGCAGUGCGUGGAGCCGCCUACACUCUACCAUUGCUAAUCCUCUCGAUUUCAGACCUCUUGCAUCAGAUCUUUGCCUCUCAAGAGUUUCUUCACCUUGAAUUUGCUAAACCUGUAGUUUUUGCCUCCUGUAAUUAAUUUGAUUGACAUGGAUUGAAGAAAACCCCUUUUUCUUAUACAAUUGAAAUAUGAAAGCCC
Non-coding RNA from Camellia sinensis, 534 nucleotides. Lineage: Eukaryota; Viridiplantae; Streptophyta; Magnoliopsida; Ericales; Theaceae. The record is from RefSeq and is a predicted model, not a curated record.